Molecule: ribosomal RNA, 33 nt
Filed under: Cerastoderma edule
Lineage: Eukaryota; Metazoa; Mollusca; Bivalvia; Cardiida; Cardiidae
Also listed under: 5 other names
Description: partial 18S ribosomal RNA
Source: RNAcentral
GUUUCCGUAGGUGAACCUGCGGAUGGAUCAUUA